UUUCCGUAGGUGAACCUGCGGAAGGAUCAUUACAGAGGUUUAUCCUUUUCUGUGAAUUUUAUAUCUGGUGUGUAUGUUUGUGAGGGAACGAGUGCGGAGCACGAGUUGAGAUCAUUUGUGAAAGCAAUGAGUCGAACCAUUCGUUCAAACACCAAAUAUAUGCACCAAACACUUUAUAUCAAUUUUUGUCUGAAGAAAAGAAAUGAAAAACUUUCAACAAUGGAUCUCUUGGCUCUGGCAUCGAUGAAGAACGCAGC
This 257-nucleotide unclassified non-coding RNA is filed under the name uncultured fungus. RNAcentral describes it as "sequence contains ITS1, 5.8S rRNA gene". The stretch from base 209 to 257 matches the Rfam family "5.8S ribosomal RNA", at positions 1 to 49 of the family's 154-position model. The record is from RNAcentral. Lineage: Eukaryota; Fungi.